CACUGCCUUGAUCCACUUGGCUACAUCCGCC
This 31-nucleotide transfer RNA is filed under the name Triticum turgidum subsp. dicoccum. Its description in RNAcentral is "Triticum dicoccon partial tRNA-His". The record is from RNAcentral. RNAcentral also lists the same sequence under 4 other names. Lineage: Eukaryota; Viridiplantae; Streptophyta; Magnoliopsida; Poales; Poaceae.